CACUAUCGAAACAUGUGUUGAUUCAAACGUAUUGUGUAAUUUGAACACAUGCAACAUCCAUUUCUCUUCAGACGUAGAACCUAGUAGAAAUUGUUAGAAUAAUUUUGUUCAAGCGAUAACUACACGAGCAUGUGUAUAAUCGGCAGCUGUGGGAGUAGGCGUUCCAUCAACUGAACACAGAAAUGUACUGACGACAAUGUCUUACAAUUGAAGAAAUGGAAUGCUUUUGGAUUGAUUGUUCACGUACGCAGUUACUAUAAAGUAAAGACUAACGGAGUAAACAAGCAAAAAAUCAACUUACCUGAUACGUGAAGCGUCCGACGAUGUUGUUGGAGUGGUAGGCUAGAACGUGCAUAUGCAGAGGGGGGAGACGAAAAGGAUACUAGAUAUCAUGGAUCGCCGCCGAAGUAGGCCCACGUUUCAACCGAAGAUGACCACUGGACAACGAGAAUCACUGCUAGAACUAUAGCUCGAGAUUGCCAGGAGGGUUUGCAUCAUCAACGAACAGAACCAGUGGACGUCGAAGAUCGUUGCAGAGGAUGGUCUACAUCAUCACCGAAGAUGACUACUGGACAAAGACGCUUGCUGACGGACCUGUGAGGAUUGUCGCCCAAAAUAUUAAAUAUUAAAUGAAAAGUUAUAAGCUUCAAACUAUGAUUUUAUUAUUAUUAUUUUUUAAUGUACUUAGGAAGUCUUUGAUCAACACCGAAGAAGCCCACUUGAAAACGAGGAUCGUCGCCAAGACCGUUGGCCAGAAAUGUCAGGUACUAAAUUUAAAGUUUCAAGACUUAUCAUGUUUUAUAUAUUUAUAAUUUUUGGUGCUCGAGUGUUUGUAACACCAACAAGGAGUACCUAUGGACUUCGGGAAUUGCUAGCAAAGUCGACAGGAUCGUUUCCCGGGAUUCUUAGGUAUUAACCUUAAAAUUUUAAGUGUCUAACUAAGGUUUUUUCUUAAUGAGUUUAAGAUGAUCCACAUCACCACCGAAGAGGGCCAAUGGACAACGAAGAUCGCCGUUGAAGCUGCCCGGAUUGUUGCCCAAAAUCGUCAAAGGGUCCUCAACACCACCAAAGAAAGCUGUAGACGACGAGGAUCGCCGCCAUGACCGUUGCCCAAGAUUGCCAGGCAUAAAUUUAAAAUGAGGGUCUGCAACACCAAUGAUGAGGAUCAUUGGACGUAGAGGUUCGUCGCCGAAGUCACAAGAACCGUCGCGCAGGAUUGUCAGAUAUUAAUUUUAAAAUUUUAAUUGUCUAAUUUUUUUUUUUUUUUUUUUUUUAAAUAAUGUAUUUACUAUGGUCUUCAUCACCAUCGAAGAGUACCAUUGGGCAACGAGGAGCAGUUGGAGGCACUAGGAUUGUAACCAAAAAUUUUCAAGAGGGUUUAGAUCACCACCGAUGAGGAUUACUUGACAAAGAGAAUCGCCCCCAUCACCGUUGCCAAGAAAGGGGUCGCAAUACCACCGGGAGGACUUUUGGAUGUCGUGGAUUGUCGGUGAACUUGUCAGACUUUAUAGCUCAAAAAACUCGGGUGUUAAUGUUAAAAUUUUAAGUAUAUAAUCAUGCUUUCUUUUAAAUAAUUUUAGUAGUUUUCAGAGCACUUCAGAGGAUGAAUACCGGACAUCUAGGAUCGGCACCCAGCUCCGUAAUUCAUGGCUAUUGGGAGGAUGGAAAAAUAGAAUAUGGUACGGUUGAGUAUUGCCAAGUCAGCAUUUGCUUUCUUCAUUCUGUUUUGUAAUUUCUGUGUUUUAUACGUGUGCCUCUAAUUCCUUUUCCCCUACCAUAAUUUUCCCUUCAAGCACUUUGGGUUAUCGUUUCACCUUGCACGGAGCAUGAAAAUUCACUACACCUUAACCCCAGGGUUCGCACAGUGUAUGCGUUAGAUUUCAUGCAUUGGUUAGGGAAGUUUGAAUUUAGGGUAUGUUGUUCAGCUUACAUCUUAUAUUUGCUUUAGAUAAUUAAUAAUAAUUGAUCUUAAAACAAAAACAGUAACACAAAAUAAAUUUAUACCGUUUCAAUAUUGAAUACGGAGUAGUGUCUUGAAUAAUCUAGCCACAUAAUAAACCAUUCAUCGCUUGUGAUCGGGUUGCAUGGGCUUGUGAGCGGGUUGCAUUCCUUAUAAAAUUUUACGGGGUAUGGGGCUAAUCAAAAAAGAGCCCGUUACUCGCCCGACCCGCCCCAAAAACUAAAACAAUUCGAAUAGUGCGUGGGGUGUGGCCUAUUUACAGGUGUUUACCAUGGAGUGUGGCUUAUUUACAGGUGUUUACCAUGGAGUAGUGAAACCAUGUAAUCUAUGACUCUGCCCUGCUAGCCCUAGUCGUUUAGUUAUCCUAGGCAAUUAGAUGCUUUGGAACGCUGUUCCAAAAAUAUAUUGGCACAAGAACCUCCUAAGUCUUGUCUGUGAAAGUGCAGAAAUUUGUUAAGCAACCCAGGAAUAUCGGUUGAUGAUUUGAUCCGAACGCCACUCAAACCUCGCCACGCCAAACUCAACUGAUGGGCGACAUCGUUAAUAUGGAAGUGGAAUAUAGUUCAACAUGCCAUGAUAAAAUACCAAUCUGCAAAGCCUUGGCUGCAGAAGUGAAAAUCAAUGAAGCUCUAGUAAUCUAUGCUCUUGCAAAACAGACCAGAAUUGUGAGCUGAAUUUUCACAUUGUUAAUUUUUUUGUUUUCAUACUUGAUCAUUUGCUUUGCUUACAUCGAGGUGAUACCAUUUCAGCAGAGUGCAUUUUAGAAGUAAUUGUGCACGUUUGUUUUGAAACCAUCAGUGUGAUUUCUCAACAAGAAUAUCAUUAGCUUGACCAAAAAAACAAGCCAGCUUCUGUCACUAAAAUGGUCCAGCACGUUGAUCAGACACCUAUCAAGAAAAUAAAGCUCAAGUUUAUUGACAAUCAGGACUGUUACUGCCAGAAAGAUGCAUAUGAAUUUGGUCUUUGUUUUCAUUAUUCUUCUUUACAGAAAUAAGAAAAAAAAUUUUCAUUUUAGAUUUAUGUUGAAGUGUAUUAAGCCAGAUAUACACAUUCUUAAAUCUGUU
Molecule: long non-coding RNA, 3024 nt
Organism: Daphnia magna
Lineage: Eukaryota; Metazoa; Arthropoda; Branchiopoda; Diplostraca; Daphniidae
Exons: 12
Source: RefSeq, a predicted model, not a curated record